AAUGAAAGAAGUGUACUACAGUAUAUAGUUUUGUCUAUAUUCUAUAUUCUAGAUCGAGCAGUAUCCACAUACUCUCUCAAUACAAGGCCAAACUAAAUGUGACUUGUUUGGUCAAAAAAACUCGAAGGCUCAAAAGAGUUGGCACUUGACAGGGAAAAAAAUCUAACUUUGAGAAAAGUAAAGAACAAAAAGAAAACACAAAGUGGGGAAAAUGGCCAAUCGAAGAAAAAGAUAAGACAAGACAUGAAGCAGUGUGAUGAUGAUGAUGAUCAUCAUUACAGUGAAAGAAUCAAAGAAUCAUUCAUUCAUGUUUUUUUUUUUGUUUUUGACACUUGGAAGUUUGGAAUAACCAAACGUUCGUUGGCGUUUUCAAACGCCGCAUCUUCGAGUUUUUCAAGUAUCUUCUCUUCCCUAUACUAUUAUAAACCGUACAUGUUGAUGUUACACAUUUUUCUAAAUCCAAGUUUCCAAAUUCGAUUCUUUUGAUUUACUUUCUAUUGGUAAAAAAAAAAAAAUAAGAAUAAUGAAAUGGAAAUGAGAAUUGUACUAUUUUUAGAAACAUACAACUCGUUGGGCCUAGUUUUGGGUCGUGUGGGUAACAAUCUCAAACUAAGAGGGCUUAAGCCCUUAAUUAGAAAUUAUUGUUUGUUUUUCUUUAGUUUCUUUAUAUUCGAACACCAACUUCGUAGAUCCACC
This 696-nucleotide long non-coding RNA is filed under the name Capsella rubella. Its description in RNAcentral is "long non-coding RNA (CRUB_LNC003734)". The record is from RNAcentral. Lineage: Eukaryota; Viridiplantae; Streptophyta; Magnoliopsida; Brassicales; Brassicaceae.